GGAGGAGUACGGCGACAACGAUGAUGAUGAUGAUGACCACCACUACGAUAAACGAUGGUGGUGGUUUAGUCCACGAUUACGACGACUACUAUGAUAAUGAUAAUGAUGACUUUCGUUUCGUUUCUCAUUGGUACAGAACACCGUAGAACGUUGGCUGCUGUUCAGCAAAGAUGUACAGGAGUGGCUGUGUGCUAGAAGUGAAGAAUUUUGGUAUGGCACCGAUGAAAUUUCAGAUUUCUUCUUAAUUGUACAAAAUCAGCUCACUCUCUUAUUACGUCUGCACCUUGGUUUUGCUGUAUUUUUAUAGGUUUCUGUUCCUGAAUUUCAGACUGGAUUUCUGAAAAGGCACGUAUCUCAGCAUCCAAGAAAAUCAUCAAUGACACAUGAUAGAUUCUUUCAUUUUGCUUUGUUGUUUUUGUUUUUACCGUAUUUUUACAACUACAACCACAAUUUGAUUUACACAACUACGUCAGUUUAAAUAUAAGAAUUAAUUUACUAUUCUGGAGUUUCAGAAUGUGCAAAAACUCCUCCUCAUUGUCGUAACCGUCAUCAUAAUCAUCAUUAUCAAGCCCUGGACAUUACCAUCACGAAUCCUUGGACUCACAGGGCCGGUUACCAGUUCCCAUUAUAUAUAAGUGACGAAAAUCCCAGUUGUCCGUCGCAGGAUUACUCACAGUUUAAUGAACUGGAGCAACGGAAAAUGAAGUAUUUUUGCUCAAAAAGACAAUGCACUGUCCGGUUCGAGAAUCGAAACCAUGACCCAGUGAGAGUAACACUCUAACUACUAAAUACCAUUCGGUCAAAAUAAUUUUCAUCUUAUGAUUGCUUUCAGUAUUUUUAGUUUUUACCAAACCAAAUUUCCAAGACCCAAUAUUCUUUUCUACUCUAAGCACAAAGCCCGAAAUUUUGGGGGCGGGGUGGGGGGUACUUACUUUAUCGACCCCCGAAAGGCAAAGUCGACUUCGGCGGAAUUUGAACUCAGGACGUAAAGACAGACGAAAUACCGCAAAGCAUUUCACUCGGCAUGCAAACAUUUCUUAUUUCUUUAUUGCUCACAGGGGGCUAAACAUGGAGGGGACAAACAAGGACAGACAAAGGGAUUAAGUCGAUUACAUCGAUCCCAGUGCAUAACGGGUACUUUAUUUAUCGAUCCCGAAAGGAUGAAAGGCAAAGUCGAAUUCGGCGGAAUUUGAACUCAGAACGUAAAGACAGACGAAAUACCGCAAAGCAUUUCACCCGGCGUGCUAACACUUCUGCCAGCUCGUCACCCAAGACAUGGCGAAUAUCGAUUCACCAUACUUCUUUUAACGCUUUAACUGCAGAAUUAAAUUUUAUGGUUAUUCCAAUGAUCAUGUUAAAUAUCUACCAAAAAUAGAAUCGCUCAAUAAACUUGACGCAUCUGUACAAAACAAAAAGAAAACAGUUUUAAACUACAUUCUUCAACAAAAAAUAAAUUGGUAUAUAAAACUGUUGUCUGCAAUUAAGAGCAAUGAAAUUUUAUAUAUCUGAUUUCUGCAGUAAAAAAGUUAAAGCCAAAUUUGAAAUAUGCUCGAUAGUUUGGAAACUAUGGUUCUAGGUCCUAACGAAUUACUUAAUAAGCAAUUGAUGUUGUUUGUUGUUGUUGGGAGUAGUGGUACGAAUAAAACUGAUGUGGAGUGCACAAUCCUUUCUACUAUAGGUACAAGACCUGAAAUUGUUGGG
This is a long non-coding RNA of Octopus bimaculoides (California two-spot octopus), 1701 nucleotides long. Lineage: Eukaryota; Metazoa; Mollusca; Cephalopoda; Octopoda; Octopodidae. The record is from RefSeq and is a predicted model, not a curated record.